GAUGAACGCUGGCGGCGUGCCUAAUACAUGCAAGUCGAACGAAACUUCUUUAUCACCGAGUGCUUGCACUCACCGAUAAAGAGUUGAGUGGCGAACGGGUGAGUAACACGUGGGCAACCUGCCCAAAAGAGGGGGAUAACACUUGGAAACAGGUGCUAAUACCGCAUAACCAUAGUUACCGCAUGGUAACUAUGUAAAAGGUGGCUAUACUACCGCUUUUGGAUGGGCCCGCGGCGCAUUAGCUAGUUGGUAGGGUAAAGGCUUACCAAGGCAAUGAUGCGUAGCCGAAUUGAGAGGUUGAUCGGCCACAUUGGUACUGGGACACGGCCCAAACUCCUACGGGAGGCAGCAGUAGGGAAUCUUCCACAAUGGGCGAAAGCCUGCUGGAGCAACGCCGCGUGGGUGAAGAAGGUCUUCGGAUCGUAAAACCCUGUUGUUAGAGAAGAAAGUGCGUGAGAGUAACUGUUCACGUUUCGACGGUAUCUAACCAGAAAGCCACGGCUAACUACGUG
This 512-nucleotide ribosomal RNA is filed under the name uncultured bacterium. RNAcentral's name for it is "partial 16S ribosomal RNA". It matches the Rfam family "Bacterial small subunit ribosomal RNA", at positions 28 to 507 of the family's 1533-position model. The record is from RNAcentral.